GGAUCAUUAUCGAAACAGAACAGGAAAGGAUGGCGGGCAGAGAUCUGACCCAACACUUUUGAUUAGAUUCCGAUUAGAAUCCAUGUUCGAAAGGGAUCGAAAAAAAAAGUAAAGUAAAGUAAAGGGAAAGACUUUGCCUUCUUGAUUUUCCUAUUCAUUACCCACACCUGUGCACCUUUUGUAGGUGUCCCUCUCGAAAGGGAGGGCAUCUAUGUCUUCAUCAUAUCACACACAAUGUAUGGCCAGAAUGUCAAUCAUGAAAUAUAAAAUACAACUUUCAGCAACGGAUCUCUUGGCUCUCGCAUCGAUGAAGAACGCAGCGAAUUGCGAUAAGUAAUGUGAAUUGCAGAUUUCCAGUGAAUCAUCGAAUCUUUGAACGCAUCUUGCGCUCCUUGGUAUUCCGAGGAGCAUGCCUGUUUGAGUGUCAUUAAAUCAUCAACCAUCCUCUUCGUUUCAAGGAGGGAUGGAUUGGACUUGGGGGUUGUUGGCAGCCAUGUCAGCUCUCCUUAAACGUAUUAGCGAUCGAGUUGGCUAGUCUUUCGGCGCACACGGCUUCGGACGUGAUAAACAUUUAGAUCGUCCUGGCUGGAGCGUCAUUUCCUAGACUGUCCAAGUUAGAUGGCUUCUAACCAAAUCGACGGAUAGAGUCUCAUCACUAUGUGUGUCUAUGGAGCUUAGUUGCUAGACAGUCAUUAGGUUGGCUGGCAAAGACAAGCGAGAUAGAUCACUUGAGACGAGAACUAGAUCUGUUCGAAUUGAUUUCUAUCGAGUGAAAUAAAAACAAGGAAAGGAUAGUGAUCUGGUGAAAGUGAGUCCAUGGAGCUUAGCUACUAGGCAGUCAUUAGGUUGGCUGGCGAAGACGAGCGAGAUGAAUCCACGAUGCUAGCUUUGAUCUCUUGAUCUUCUUUGAUUUGUUUGAUUCG
Molecule: ribosomal RNA, 923 nt
Filed under: Hourangia nigropunctata
Lineage: Eukaryota; Fungi; Basidiomycota; Agaricomycetes; Boletales; Boletaceae
Description: eukaryotic LSU rRNA
Rfam family: 5.8S ribosomal RNA (bases 273-427)
Source: RNAcentral